RNAcentral lists this ribosomal RNA (484 nucleotides) under uncultured bacterium. Its description in RNAcentral is "partial 16S ribosomal RNA". It matches the Rfam family "Bacterial small subunit ribosomal RNA", at positions 30 to 507 of the family's 1533-position model. The record is from RNAcentral.
AUUGAACGCUGGCGGCAGGCCUAACACAUGCAAGUCGAGCGGAUGAAGGGAGCUUGCUCCUGGAUUCAGCGGCGGACGGGUGAGUAAUGCCUAGGAAUCUGCCUGGUAGUGGGGGAUAACGUCCGGAAACGGGCGCUAAUACCGCAUACGUCCUGAGGGAGAAAGUGGGGGAUCUUCGGACCUCACGCUAUCAGAUGAGCCUAGGUCGGAUUAGCUAGUUGGUGGGGUAAAGGCCUACCAAGGCGACGAUCCGUAACUGGUCUGAGAGGAUGAUCAGUCACACUGGAACGGAGACACGGUCCAGGCUCCUACGGGAGGCAGCAGUGGGGAAUAUUGGACAAUGGGCGAAAGCCUGAUCCAGCCAGGCCGCGUGUGUGAAGAAGGUCUUCGGAUUGUAAAGCACUUUAAGUUGGGAGGAAGGGCAGUAAGUUAAUACCUUGCUGUUUUGACGGUACCAACAGAAUAAGCACCGGCUAACUUCGUG